GACGGAGGAGGCAAGCGUUAUCCGGAAUUAUUGGGCGUAAAGGGUACGUAGGCGGCUGGUCAAGUCUGGAGUCAAAGGCCACAGGUCAACUGAGGUAAGUCCCUGGAAACUGAGCGGCUAGAGUGAGGUAGGGGUUGCGGGAAUUCCCGGUGUAGCGGUGAAAUGCGUAGAGAUCGGGAAGAACUCCUGAGGCGGAAGCGCUCAACUGGGCCUCAACUGACGUUGAGGUACGAAAGCUAGGGGAGCGAAUGGG
This 253-nucleotide ribosomal RNA is filed under the name uncultured bacterium. Its description in RNAcentral is "partial 16S ribosomal RNA". It matches the Rfam family "Bacterial small subunit ribosomal RNA", at positions 524 to 776 of the family's 1533-position model. The record is from RNAcentral.